UACGUAGGGUGCGAGCGUUAAUCGGAAUUACUGGGCGUAAAGCGUGCGCAGGCGGUUUUGUAAGCCAGAUGUGAAAUCCCCGGGCUUAACCUGGGAAUGGCAUUUGGGACUGCAAGGCAUGAGUGCGGCAGAGGAGACUGGAAUUCCUGGUGUAGCAGUGAAAUGCGUAGAUAUCAGGAGGAAUACCGAUGGCGAAGGCAGGUCUCUGGGCUGACACUGACGCUCAUGCACGAAAGCGUGGGGAGCAAACAGG
This 253-nucleotide ribosomal RNA is filed under the name uncultured bacterium. Its description in RNAcentral is "partial 16S ribosomal RNA". It matches the Rfam family "Bacterial small subunit ribosomal RNA", at positions 524 to 776 of the family's 1533-position model. The record is from RNAcentral.